This 73-nucleotide ribosomal RNA is filed under the name Pseudomonas aeruginosa. Its description in RNAcentral is "partial 16S ribosomal RNA". It matches the Rfam family "Bacterial small subunit ribosomal RNA", at positions 1461 to 1533 of the family's 1533-position model. Lineage: Bacteria; Pseudomonadati; Pseudomonadota; Gammaproteobacteria; Pseudomonadales; Pseudomonadaceae. The record is from RNAcentral.
GGAGUGAUUCAUGACUGGGGUGAAGUCGUAACAAGGUAGCCGUAGGGGAACCUGCGGCUGGAUCACCUCCUUA